Molecule: microRNA, 24 nt
Filed under: Pongo pygmaeus (Bornean orangutan)
Lineage: Eukaryota; Metazoa; Chordata; Mammalia; Primates; Hominidae
Description: ppy-miR-1324
Source: miRBase by way of RNAcentral
CCGGACAGAAUUUUGUGCCCUUUU